This 466-nucleotide ribosomal RNA is filed under the name uncultured soil bacterium. RNAcentral's name for it is "bacterial SSU rRNA". It matches the Rfam family "Bacterial small subunit ribosomal RNA", at positions 26 to 484 of the family's 1533-position model. The record is from RNAcentral.
AGAUUGAACGCUGGCGGCAUGCUUUACACAUGCAAGUCGAGCGGCAGCGCGGGAGCAAUCCUGGCGGCGAGCGGCGAACGGGUGAGGAAUACAUCGGAACGUGCCCCGGAGUGGGGGAUAACGCCGCGAAAGCGGCGCUAAUACCGCAUAUGCUCUGAGGAGGAAAGCGGGGGACCUGUGAGGGCCUCGCGCUCUGGGAGCGGCCGAUGUCCGAUUAGCUAGUUGGUGGGGUAAUGGCUCACCAAGGCGACGAUCGGUAGCUGGUCUGAGAGGAUGAUCAGCCACACUGGGACUGAGACACGGCCCAGACUCCUACGGGAGGCAGCAGUGGGGAAUUUUGGACAAGUGGGGGCAACCCUGAUCCAGCCAUGCCGCGUGCGGAAGAAGGCCGUUCGGUUGUAACCGUCUUUAGUACGGAAGAAAGAUCGACGGAUAACGACCCGUGGUUCUUCGACGGUACCGGCGG